RNAcentral lists this ribosomal RNA (800 nucleotides) under uncultured bacterium. RNAcentral's name for it is "bacterial SSU rRNA". It matches the Rfam family "Bacterial small subunit ribosomal RNA", at positions 8 to 789 of the family's 1533-position model. The record is from RNAcentral.
AGAGUUUGAUCCUGGCUCAGGAUAAACGCUGGCGGCGCACAUAAGACAUGCAAGUCGAACGGAAGUCGUUAUAAAAUGGAUUGAAGAUUUAUCAGAUAGAAGUUUUGUAACAAUGGCUUUAGUGGCGGACUGGUGAGUAAUAUGUAAGCAACUUGCCUGUUAGAGGGGAACAACAGUUAGAAAUGACUGCUAAUACCGCAUAUGCCAUAGGAACUGCAUGGUUCUAGUGGGAAAGGAGAAAUCCGCUAACAGAUGGGCUUACAGCUGAUUAGCUAGUUGGUGGGGUAAAGGCCUACCAAGGCGACGAUCAGUAGCCGGACUGAGAGGUUCAACGGCCGCAUUGGGACUGAGAUACGGCCCAGACUCCUACGGGAGGCAGCAGUCGGGAAUUUUGCGCAAUGGAGGGAACUCUGACGCAGUGACGCCGCGUGCAGGAAGAAGGUUUUAGGAUUGUAAACUGCUUUAGACAGGGAAGAAGAAGGACAGUACCUGUAGAAUAAGCUCCGGCUAACUACGUGCCAGCAGCCGCGGUAAUACGUAGGGAGCGAGCGUUAUCCGGAUUUAUUGGGUGUAAAGGGUGCGUAGACGGGAUAGUAAGUUAGUUGUGAAAUCCCUCGGCUCAACCGAGGAACUGCAACUAAAACUGUUAUUCUUGAGUACUGGAGAGGAAAGUGGAAUUCCUAGUGUAGCGGUGAAAUGCGUAGAUAUUAGGAGGAACACCAGUGGCGAAGGCGACUUUCUGGACAGAGACUGACGUUGAGGCACGAAAGUGUGGGGAGCAAACAGGAUUAGAUACCCUG